GUAGGGGGCGAGCGUUGUCCGGAUUUAUUGGGCGUAAAGAGCUCGUAGGCGGCUCAGCAAGUCGGCCGUGAAAGCCUGAGGCUCAACCUCAGGACGCCGGUCGAAACUGCUGUGGCUAGGGUCCGGUAGAGGAGAGUGGAAUUCCCGGUGUAGCGGUGAAAUGCGCAGAUAUCGGGAGGAACACCAGUAGCGAAGGCGGCUCUCUGGGCCGGUACCGACGCUGAGGAGCGAAAGCUAGGGGAGCAAACAGGGAUUAGAUACCCUGGUAGUCCUAGCCGUAAACGUUGGGCACUAGGUGUGGCGGAGUCAUUGACAUCUGCCGUGCCGAAGCUAACGCAUUAAGUGCCCCCGCCUGGGAGUACGGUCGCAAGGCUA
This 375-nucleotide ribosomal RNA is filed under the name uncultured organism. RNAcentral's name for it is "partial 16S ribosomal RNA". It matches the Rfam family "Bacterial small subunit ribosomal RNA", at positions 527 to 896 of the family's 1533-position model. The record is from RNAcentral.